UGUAGAGUGCAUUCCCGAGAAAUCGGGAUUUUCUUCGGAACUCUUUGCAAGGUGCUGCAUGGUUGUCGUCAGCUCGUGCCGUGAGGUGUCGGGUUAAGUCCCAUAACGAGCGCAACCCUUAUCGUUAGUUGCCAGCGGGUAAUGCCGGGAACUCUAGCGAAACUGCCGGUGUAAACCGUGAGGAAGGUGGGGAUGACGUCAAAUCAGCACGGCCCUUAUGUCCAGGGCUACACACGUGUUACAAUGGCCGGUACAGAGGGCAGCUACCUGGAGACAGGAUGCGAAUCUCCAAAGCCGGUCUCAGUUCGGAUCGGAGUCUGCAACUCGACUCCGUGAAGCUGGAUUCGCUAGUAAUCGCGCAUCAGCCAUGGCGCGGUGAAUACGUUCCCGGGCCUU
RNAcentral lists this ribosomal RNA (396 nucleotides) under uncultured Sphingobacteriales bacterium. Its description in RNAcentral is "bacterial SSU rRNA". It matches the Rfam family "Bacterial small subunit ribosomal RNA", at positions 986 to 1382 of the family's 1533-position model. The record is from RNAcentral. Lineage: Bacteria; Pseudomonadati; Bacteroidota; Sphingobacteriia; Sphingobacteriales.